RNAcentral lists this ribosomal RNA (253 nucleotides) under uncultured bacterium. RNAcentral's name for it is "partial 16S ribosomal RNA". It matches the Rfam family "Bacterial small subunit ribosomal RNA", at positions 524 to 776 of the family's 1533-position model. The record is from RNAcentral.
GACGUAGGAUGCAAGCGUUGUCCGGAAUCAUUGGGCGUAAAGAGUUCGUAGGUGGUUUGCCAAGUCUGACGUUAAAGCCCGAAGCUCAACUUCGGUUCGGCAUCGGAAACUGGCAGGCUAGAGUCUGGUAGAGGCAAGGGGAAUUCCCGGUGUAGCGGUGAAAUGCGUAGAUAUCAGGAGGAACACCAAUGGCGAAGGCAGCUCGCUGGGACGUGACUGACGCUGAGACGCGAAAGCGUGGGGAGCAAACAGG